UACGAAGGGGGCUAGCGUUGUUCGGAAUUACUGGGCGUAAAGCGCACGUAGGCGGAUACUUAAGUCAGGGGUGAAAUCCCGGGGCUCAACCCCGGAACUGCCUUUGAUACUGGGUAUCUCGAGUCCGGAAGAGGUGAGUGGAAUUCCGAGUGUAGAGGUGAAAUUCGUAGAUAUUCGGAGGAACACCAGUGGCGAAGGCGGCUCACUGGUCCGGUACUGACGCUGAGACGCGAAAGCGUGGGGAGCGAACAGG
Molecule: ribosomal RNA, 253 nt
Filed under: uncultured bacterium
Lineage: Bacteria
Description: partial 16S ribosomal RNA
Rfam family: Bacterial small subunit ribosomal RNA
Source: RNAcentral